GCUUGAGUCAUCAGCUUGUGCUGAUUAUGUCCCUGCCCUUUGUACACACCGCCCGUCGCUCCUACCGAUCGAGUGAUCCGGUGAAUAAUUUGGGCUGUAGCAAUGUUCAGUUCUUGAACAAUGCAAUGACAAAUUUAAUGAACCUUAGCACUUAGAGGAAGGAGAAGUCGUAGCAAGGUUUCUGUAGGUGAACCUGCUGAAGGAUCAUGU
RNAcentral lists this ribosomal RNA (210 nucleotides) under Alexandrium fundyense. RNAcentral's name for it is "partial small subunit ribosomal RNA". It matches the Rfam family "Eukaryotic small subunit ribosomal RNA", at positions 1621 to 1831 of the family's 1831-position model. The record is from RNAcentral. Lineage: Eukaryota; Dinophyceae; Gonyaulacales; Pyrocystaceae.